This 371-nucleotide ribosomal RNA is filed under the name uncultured bacterium. Its description in RNAcentral is "bacterial SSU rRNA". It matches the Rfam family "Bacterial small subunit ribosomal RNA", at positions 527 to 896 of the family's 1533-position model. The record is from RNAcentral.
GUAGGGGGNAAGCGUUGUCCGGAUUCAUUGGGCGUAAAGAGCGUGUAGGCGGCCAGGUAGGUCGGUUGUGAAAACUGGAGGCUCAACCUUCAGAGGUCGACCGAAACCAUCUGGCUAGAGUCCGGGAGAGGAGAGUGGAAUUCCUGGUGUAGCGGUGAAAUGCGCAGAUAUCAGGAAGAACACCCGUGGCGAAAGCGGCUCUCUGGAACGGUACUGACGCUGAGACGCGAAAGCGUGGGGAGCGAACAGGAUUAGAUACCCUGGUAGUCCACGCCGUAAACGAUGGGCGCUAGGUGUGGGAGGUGUCGACUCCUUCCGUGCCGCAGCUAACGCAUUAAGCGCCCCGCCUGGGGAGUACGGCCGCAAGGCUA